RNAcentral lists this ribosomal RNA (77 nucleotides) under uncultured bacterium. RNAcentral describes it as "partial 16S ribosomal RNA". The record is from RNAcentral.
CGUGUGUGAAGAAGGCCUGAGGGUUGUAAAGCACUUUAGUUGGGGAAGAGAGGAUAGAGUUAAGAGAUACUGUCUGA